AGCCUUCCUCUAGGAGUGAGGUCGAGCGACCACCGUAUGCAUGUAUAUUGUUAGGGUGUUAUGAUGAUACUGUUGGGUAAGGUGUCUAAGUCCAUAACUAUUUCUGGUAUGUACUUGACCCGCUUGGCAUGGUCCAUUUGGGUUUCAUGGCAUCAUGAUGAUUGGAUAGACAAAAUGAGAAGAUGGACACUUAUGAUUUGUUAAUAUAUUAUAAGUUAUAAUAUAUUAAUAUGAAAUCAUAUUAUAUAAUUAGUAUUGAUCAAGAGUUAAUUUGGAAUUCAGUUUAUGAUAAAAAAGAGACUAAUUAAAUAUAUGGGGUUGAUUGUGUAAAUCAUCUAUUCUUAUAUAGUGGGCUAAUGAUCCAUGGUUCAAUGGAUUGGGCUAAAACCCAUUGGGUGCUCCAUGGAUGCUCCCUGGAGGUUAAAACCCAUGGAUCAUGGAGGAAAUGAAAAGCCAUGUCAAUUAGGGUUUACAUGGUGUAACCCUACUUGUGACACACUAUAUAAAGACCCCAUAGGCUAGCAAAAUCGAUACUAAGACUAGAACAAGGAGGGCUAGCCAAUUUUGAGUGAUAGUGUACUUCACUCAAAGGUAUUCCAAGAGUUGUGUUGUUGUGUGAAACAUUUGAGGCAUCACAUUUGGGGUGCUAAGCUCACAAAGUUCUUAAGGAAUCCAACCAACAAGAAAGGUAUGUUCUUCUAAUAGCUUUUAUGUUUCAAGUUCCCCAUGCCAUGCUUGUUAGGUUAAGAACCUUGGAAAAACCAAAUUUUCAUGUAUCUUAGUAAAACAUAGAUCCAAGGUUUCUAGGGUUGUAUGUACACAAUAGUAGUGUUAGAAUGCUCAAAACCCUUUAGUGGUAUUAGAGACUAGGCUUGUUUUCUUGAUACUUGAUGCAAAUUGUUGAAGAAAAUCGAAAUUUCUGCAUUCUUCUGAGUGAAAUCGCCGAGUCCAUAGGGGGACUCGAUGAGUCCAUGCAUAUAUUCAUCCUACUCGUCGAGUAGGUUCGUGUACUCGGUGAGUAGGAGGCCCAGAGUGCAGUUUUUUGAGUUUUGCUGCUGGAAAUAGACUAGAAUCAUUACCCUAAACUAUUUUGGACUUAUAAAACCUGUUUUUGAUGUGGUAAUGAUUAUGCUAAUCCAUUUACAAUUGUUAUUAUCAAAACUUCAUGUUUUAUAUGUGUUUAUAUGAUUCUUGAAAUUGUUGAUAUGAAUGUUCAUACACUUAUGAGUUUGGUAGAUCAUAGGAAUUAUUUGCAAAUUGGUUGUUAGUUUAAUUCUUGAUCUAAAUGUUUUUUUUAAUGGAGUCCAUAAUUUUUCCUCAAGUUAUGGAUUACUAAAAGUCUUUUUCUUUCAAAGUCCAUUAAAGAACACAUAGGUUACAUAAAAUGAAGAGUCUUCAUUUUAAUAAACCAUUAACUAAUAAGUUAUGAAGUUGAAAAGUUUUGAAUAGUUACAAAACCUGCCCUCAAGUUUUGGAACAUGUAAAGUCACUUUAGAAAACUUUAGUUCCAACCUCUAGAAUUUUAAAAGUUAAAAUUCAACCCUUAUACUUUAUAGUAUUAUAAGUUAUAUAUAUAUAUAUAUAUANUUUUAUCAUUAGUAGGCCUCAUUCACGAAGCCAGUCUAUAAGGGGGGUAUAAGGUUGUUGUCUAUAAAAUGUCAGCUUAAUGGGUGUCCACUCUCACCUACCGCUUCCUUGACUAGUGGAGGCUCGUUAGCCGAACGGGUAGGAUAAUGACUUUAACUCUCAUUAAAAGUAUAAUGAUUAUAAAGUAACUAAUGUUUUAUAAAUUCCCAAUCUUUGUUACUUUAGGAAAAUGUGAAUUUGGUGCUAACCCAUGAAAUUACAUUUUGCACCUUCCUUAAGUCGUUAGUGGAGCACGUGUGGUUAACUGACACACUAACUUGGAUUUAACAAGGUUGGCAAAGGGUGGCUUAAGGUUUAUCAUAGAUUGGUGGAGCGCGUGUGGUUAACUGACACAUCAAUUAGGUGAUAAACAUUAAGAGUACCAAGUAAAUUUGCAUGGUUAUUUACACCCUGUUUUGUGAUCUUCGGCAUCCCAGUCACAAAACUUGUAGGGUACACUCGAGAUUGACACAUGCCAUUGAAAAGUUCAGUGAAUCUCAAAAGAAGCUAGGAGUUUCAAAACCAAUUAAAACCUAAUAAUUCAUUUCGUUUUCAUGGUGGAAACUGGUGAAUCGUUAUUCACCUACCUUUAAAUGUUUUAUAGCUUGGAUUACGGCAUCCAUAUUCUAAGUUAUAAAAUUUUGUGUUGGGUCCUAGCCUUCAUAUUACAUUUGGGUGUCUUAUUAAGGACUAUCUUUAUAUCUAAUCUAAACUUGUCCUUCUUCUUUUUAAGAUGUCUUCCAACAAUACGGCUUCUGGCUCAUACCCUACCGACUCCUUCUCUUCUAUGAACCUUUGUGGGAGAGUCAUCUUUCAUGGGACUAAUUUCAAUGAUUGGAUUAGGAACAUAAGGGUGGUGACUCGCUAUGAGGACAAGGAAUAUGCACUUGACAAGGAGUUGAAGGAACUUGAUGAGUCUUCUUCUACUCCCGAGGAGAUCGCUGACUUUAGGACUCAUGAAAGAGAUGCCACUAAAGUGGCAUGUAUCAUGCUGGCCACAAUGACAGCCGAGCUCCGAAAGUCCAAUGAGGACUUUUAUCCUUUUGAGAUGCACCAGGAUCUUAUGGAAAGAUACCAUCAGAGUCCUCGUCAAGAGCGAUAUGAAAUAAUCUCCUCCAUGAUAACAACCCGAAUGAAAGAUGGUGAACCCAUCAGGGGCCACAUGCAGAAAAUGCAAAGGUUUGUGGACCGUCUGCUGAAGUUGAAUGUGAACUUUCCUCAGGAGUUGGCAAUUGACAUCAUAUUGCACUCCUUACCUUCUUGUUAUGAUCAAUUCCGAAUGACCUAUCACAUGAACAAGGAGGAGGUCACACUCAACAAACUUCAAGGACUUCCGAAGACCGUUGAAAGUGGUCUUAAAGGUAAAUCGCUUGUUACCACUCGUACUCCUACCACCGCCCUUGUUCUGGCUAUCGGGAAAGGUGAAGGGAAGAAGAGGAAGAGCCCUUCGAAGGGUAGCAAGGGAAAGUCCCUUGAUGGUUCCUCUUCAAGUAGAACCAAAGGUGGUUCUCUCACUCCUUCUGCCAACCCUAAAGAGGCUGAAUGCUUCUAUUGCCAUGAAAAAGGCGCACUAGAAGCCAAACUGCCCAAUGUACUUGCAAGAUGUUAAGAAUGGGAAAGUGAAACCCAACCAUGCAGGUAUUUAGACUAUAUUGUCUAAUAACUCACCAUAUUCUAAUUCUUGGGUCGUUGAUACAAGUUGUGGUAUUCACAUAUGUUCUGAUUUGCAGGGACUAAUAAGAAGUGAGAAUAUGGAGCAUGGAAAGAUAAACAUGAUCAUGGGGAAUAGGAAAGCUUCACCUGUCACCAAUAUUAGAGUUUAUUCUUUGUUGCUAAGUAGUGGGUUAAGAUUAGAUUUGAAUAAAUGUUGUUACUCGUCUGAAAUGGCAAGAAAUAUUAUUUCCUUUCACGGUUUGUACAAACAAGGAUUUACUUUUUCAUUUGAUAAUGAAUGUGGUGGCAUUAAUGCUUUCUAUAAUAAUGUUGUUUAUUUUAAAGCAUUACCUUGUGAUGGUGUAUAUGAAAUUGUGUUGGUUGUGGAUAACCUAGGAAAUAAUGUGUUGUGUAUUGAUUCUUCCACCAGCUUGGAUAAAGCAUCAUUAUGGCAUUGUCGUCUUGGACAUGUGAGCAAGAAACGCAUAGGCCAACUCCAAAACGAUGGAGUCUUGAAGUCAUUUGACCUAAAGUUGGAUGAUAGUUGUGAAUCUUGUUUACUUGGAAAAAUAACAAAGUCACCCUUCAUUGGUAUCUGUGCUACGGGUGAAGGUUUAUUGGAUCUCGUACACACAUAUGUGUGUGGACCCUUUAGAACCGCCACAAGAGAUGCUAACCGCUUCUAUGUGACUUUUACUGAUGAUUAUAGUAGAUAUGGCUAUGUCUAUUUAAUCAAGCAUAUAUCAGAAACCUUUGAAAAGUUCAAAGAGUUUAAACAAGAAGUGGAGAAUCUGCUGGGCAGGAACAUCAAGAUGCUUCGAUCCGUUCGAGGUGGUGAGUAUCCUAGUACAGAGUUCCUUGACUAUCUUAAGGAAUGUGGGAUUGUCUCACAAUUGACAGCUCCCAAAACACCACAACUUAAUGGUGUGGUUGAGAGGCGUAAUCGAACCUUGUUGGAGAUGGUUCCUUCCAUGACGAGUCGAGCUUCGCUACCAAUCUCAUUUUGGUGGUAUGCCUUAGAGACUGCCGCCCAUAUUCUUAAUCUAGUCCCUACCAAAAAGGUUUCCAAAACACCUGACAAGAUGUGGACUGGGAAAGUUCCCAAUUUGGACCACAUCAAGAUUUGGGGUUGCGAGGCUUUUGUGAGGCGUGAGAUUCACGAUAAGCUUGAGCCUCGAAGUGAGCGGUGUAUUUUCAUCGGCUACCCACAUAAAUCCUUUGGUUACCUCUUCUAUAUACCCAGUGAUAAUGUGGUCUUUGUGACAAGGAGAUGAGUCUUUCGCGAGAGAGAGUUCAUAAGCCAAGGAAACAGUGGGAGGCGAAUUGACCUUGAAGAAAUUCAAGAGUCAAGUCGUGAAGGAACCUCAAACCCUAACAGUCUACCUGAGGAGGAAACUCUUGUUGAUCCAACUGACGAGUCUGUACCUCUGAGGCGUUCCACGAGAGUUAGGAAUUCACCUGAGCAUUACUAUGGUUUCCAUAUUACUGCGGAAGGUGAUACACUUAUCAGUGAUAGUAGACUGGUAUGUUUGGAUGUACCUAAUAGCUACAAGGAAGCCAUGACAGGCCCCAAGUUUGCUAAAUGGAAAGAGGCCAUGGACAGCAAGAUACAUUCCAUGUAUGACAAUCAAAUUUGGAACUUGGUUGACAAUGUACCAGGUCGUAAGAUAGUCGGGUGCAAAUGGAUCUUCAAGAAGAAGAACAACAUGGAUGGUAAUGUACACAAUUAUAAGGCACAACUAGUUGCAAAGGGAUUUCCUCACACUCCAGGAGUUGAUUAUGAUGAGACCUUUUCACUAGUAGCAAAGAUUAAGUCCAUUAGACUUAUGCUAGCCAUUGCUGCAUUUCAUGAUUAUGAAAUAUGGCAAAUGGAUGUCAAAACCGCUUUCCUUAAUGGAAAGUUGGCUGAGGAUGUUUACAUGAGUCAGCCAAAGUGUUUUGUCAGCACAAAGUACCCUAACAAAGUGUGUAAGCUUGAGAAAUCCAUCCAUGGAUUGAAACAAGCACCUCACAGAUGGAAUCUUUGUUUCGAUGACAAAGUCAAAGAAUUUGGUUUUUCGAGGAGCGAAGAUGAGUCCUUUGUAUAUGUCAAGGCUAGUAGGAGUAUAGUUAGCUUUUUGGUAUUGUAUGUGUAUGACAUACUACUCAUAGGAAAUGACAUCCCAAAUUUGCAGGAAGUGAAGUCCUGGCUUGGGAAGUGUUUCGCUAUGAAUGACCUUGGAGAAGCUGCCUAUAUCCUAAGGAUAAUGAUUCUGAGAGAUAGGAGUAAGAGACUAAUUGGACUUAGUUAGAGUACCUACUUGGAUAAGGUGCUGAAUAGGUUCAACAUGGGAUUCCAAGAGAGGAGAGUUACCGAUCCAGAGUAAUGCCAUACUGAGUAAGACUCGGAGCCCGAGUACAGAGGCUGAGAUAGAUGAGAUGAGUCGAGUUCCGUAUGCUUCCGCUGUAGGCUCGAUCAUAUAUGCUAUGACUUGUACUCGUCCUGAUGUGGCCUUUGCUUUGAGCAUGGUCAACAGAUAUCAUGGGAACCCUGAUACGGCUCACUGGACUGUGGUAAAGAACAUUCUGAAGUACCUGCAGAGGACUAAGGACUGGGUCCUUACCCUCGGUGGGAGUGAUGACUUGAGAGUAGUAGGGUAUAGUGAUGCUAGCUUCCAGACUGAUAGGGAUAAUUUCCGCUCUCAGUCAGGUUGGGUCUUUACCUUAAACUGAGGAGCAAUUACUUGGAAAAGUUCCAAGCAGGAGACAGUGGUUGAUUCAACUCGCGAAUCAGAGUACAUAGCAGCAAGCGAGGCAGCAAAGGAGGCGAUAUGGAUGAAGAACUUCAUUGGAGACCUUGGAGUAGUACCAGCUAUAAAGGAGCCUAUAGAGAUUUUUUGUGUUAGUGAAGGUGCUGUUGCCUUAGCCAAGGAACCAAGGGAUCACGGGAGAUCCAGACACAUCGACAUAAAAUACCAUUUCAUUAGACAUCAAAUAUAGAAGGACUCCUCGUGGCAAAGAGGGUAUCAUCGGAUGAGAACCCAGUAGAUCCCCUCACAAAGGGACUUGGUAGGGUUAAGCAUCUUCAGCAUGCGAGGCGCAUUGGUAUAAAGGAUGAUAUUAGUUUUAGAAAUUAGAUAGCUGUUGAAAUUUGUAAAGUGUAAUUGACAUUUGAUGAUAAAUAAAAGUUGUUAUUAUUUAUAAGUAAAGUGUUACUAUCUUCUGUCAAUCGUUUACUAUCAUUUCAAUUUUUGCAUGUUUUGACUUCCAGAAUAAUUAUGUUAUGGUAUAUCAUAUUAUUCAAACAAUCCACAAUCAAUCAUACUUUGGAAGUAGGUAAUGAAGCAAGACUAUCAUGAAUGGGUCUGCAGUUUGUCUGGGACAAAGGGGCUGCAAUGUUCAUGAGUACUCCUAGAAUAGUGAUUCAAGUAUUGGGUUCAACCGACAGUCACUUGAAUCAUGUCAUGGAAUUUAUCUCGAGUGAUCGUGAGACGAUAAUAUCAUAUAAGUCUUCAAACCUAGAGAUAUGAGUUGUUGACUAUGAGCUGGUUAUACAUUGAUUGUACACAAAUGCAUUGGUAACUCGAUGUUAUAAAACGUGACUUUGUGUAUGAUUCAACAAGUAGUAGAACAAGCAUAUGAGUCGAAGUUUAUAUGUUCCUUCUAGUCCUUGGAGGAUUAGAAGUGAUAUCUGGGCCCCUCGAUGAUUUUUUGACCUAUGUACUGGGCCUGAUCAGAACUAAAUUGAUGUGUUCGAUUAAGUUCUAUGUCAAACAAAUCGGAAAUCGGGAAACAAACUGCUGGACAAUAAGUACGACAUUGUUCCAUGUAUUUGUCCAGCUGAUAUCUUGUGAGCACAAGAUUAUAUGAUCACUUAUCUUAAAUGACAGGUCAUCUUAGUUCCGCGAGACUUUGAAAGAACUACGAUUGCUGAUCGGUUCCUGAAGUCAUACCUGCAGUUAUAGUUAUUAGACUUAUCCAAGUGGGAGACUGUUGGAUAAGGUGUCUAAGUCCAUAACUAUUUCUGGUAUGUACUUGACCUGGUUGGUAUGGUCCAUUUGGGUUGCAUGGCAUCAUGAUGAUUGGAUAGACAAAAUGAGAAGGACACUUAUGAUUUGUUAAUAUAUUGUAAGUUAUAAUAUAUUAAUAUGAAAUCAUAUUAUUUAAUUAGUAUUGAUCAAGAAUUAAUUUGGAAUUAAUUUUAUGAUAAAAAAGAGACUAAUUAAAUAUAUGGGGCUGAUUGUGUAAAUCAUCUAUUCUUAUAUAGUGGGCUAAUGAUCCAUGGUUUAUUGGAUUGGGCUAAAACCCAUUAGGUGCUCCAUGGAUGCUCCAUGGAGGUUAAAACCCAUGGAUAAUGGAGGAAAUGAAAAGCCAUGUCAAUUAGAUUUUACAUGGUCUAACCUUACUUGUGACGCACUAUAUAAACGUACUAAGACUAGAACAAGGAGGGCUAGCCAAUUUUGAGUGAUAGUGUACUUCUCUCAAAGUUAUUCCAAGAGUUGUGGUGUUGUGUGAAACAUUUGAGGCAUCACAUUUGCGGUGCUAGGCUCAUAAAGUUCUUAAGGAAUCCAAGCAACAAGAAAUGUAUGUUGUUCUACUAGCUUUUAU
Molecule: long non-coding RNA, 7866 nt
Filed under: Lactuca sativa (garden lettuce)
Lineage: Eukaryota; Viridiplantae; Streptophyta; Magnoliopsida; Asterales; Asteraceae
Description: long non-coding RNA (LSAT_LNC008691)
Source: RNAcentral